Small nuclear RNA from Topomyia yanbarensis, 145 nucleotides. RefSeq annotates it as U4 spliceosomal RNA. NCBI's taxonomy places the organism in Eukaryota, Metazoa, Arthropoda, Insecta, Diptera, Culicidae. The transcript has a single exon. The record is from RefSeq and is a predicted model, not a curated record.
GGAUUUGUGGCGAUAUCGUAACCAAUUAGGUACAACCGAGGUGCGAUUAUUGCUAGUUGAAAACUAAUACCAAAUCCACUGAAGGCGGCUGGGGUAUGCUAAUUGGGCAUACCGACCAGCCGAUCUUCAGCUUACCUUUCUCGGU